AGUCUCCACUGGGAAUUAUUUAAAAUAUAGUAUGACGGAUUUUUCGCUUUGGGCACACCCCCCACUGGAACUCUAGAACCCGGCCUUGGCCGGGCUAUACGUUAGUAUAGUAUACUAUCCCAUAGUACCUAUAGUAUCCAUAGUCCUAUAGUAUAAAGACCCAUAGUACUGUAUAAUAAUUACCACAUAUAGUAUCUGUAUAAAUAGUGCAUUGAGAUUUAUACACGUAUUAUGCAUAAAUGUCUUAUGUAACUAUGCAUAAGACAUAUAUGGUACAUGUAUAUACAACCAGAAUGCCAAAUGUUUCAGAUUUAAAUAGAUACAUGUAACGGAUGAGGUCUCGUAAGUUCUAUCGGUCAGUGUGUUUAUACACAUAAUCUCAGGACCAAUUUACAAUUUCCUUUUUUUAAUUUUAAAAAUACAUUAGCAAGAGUAGGAAUUUAAAAAAUCCUCCCAAAAUCAAGGAGCGUAAAAACUUUAAAACCUAAAAAACGUAAUUUUUAUGGAUCAUGUGGAGAACUUUUGAAAUCUAUGUAAAAUAGAAUUUGAAUACACUGAAAAUUCACGAGUUUGGCUGAAAAAAUUCAAAAAUUUUAGGUCAAACUAUUAAAAUUUUCUUGUGCGCCAAAAUAUUCGGGCGGACCGAAAACCGGCGGUCCGGUCAGGUCCUUGAAACCGGACCGAGGACCGGACCGAAACUUUCGGUCCGGAUUGGCGGAUGGCCCAAUCCGGGACCGAACCGUCGGAUUUCGGUCCGGUCCGGGCCAACCCGAAGCUCAUUGAGAACCCUAUCUCAAAUUGACACAUCCGCUCGUCACCAUUGGUAUUGUCAAGACGCCACUGCAUUGGUAGGCAGCAUCUCUCCUGGGACCCAUUGUAACUUAUUUUGGCACGCUGGGUUGACUACGGCUUCAGGUAAACUAAGAGAGGCCACACUGAUAUUGGGACCUAUUCUUGAUGGAUAAUGCUGCAAAAUUUUACCCGGGUCGUACGGGAGACCAUGCACCAGGUACACUUUGAUCUUAGCCGAAAGGCCGAUAGCCUCUUUGUGGGUCGCUGACGUGAAAACUAUUUUUGGAGGAAUCGUGCAGCAUCGUUCGGGAACACUUUGAUCUUAGCCAAAAGGCCGCUGGUCUGGUAUUCUUCGGAAGGAGGAGUCAAAUACAUUUCAUAGCAGAUUUGUGCACAUCAAAUUUACACUUCUUUUGAAAUACAUGCAUUUUAUACAAUUUUUAAAAGCCGAAAUUUUGGCAAAAUAAAGAUAUUUAGUUAAC
Long non-coding RNA from Folsomia candida, 1274 nucleotides. RefSeq lists it as uncharacterized. The record is from RefSeq and is a predicted model, not a curated record. Lineage: Eukaryota; Metazoa; Arthropoda; Collembola; Entomobryomorpha; Isotomidae. The transcript has 3 exons.